CUUUCAAUAAACAGCGCUUCAAUUUCACGCUGAGUCAAACCGAUUCGUGUGGCGCUUCCAACUCAUUCCGGUGA
Molecule: non-coding RNA, 74 nt
Organism: Vicia faba (fava bean)
Lineage: Eukaryota; Viridiplantae; Streptophyta; Magnoliopsida; Fabales; Fabaceae
Source: the annotation of a GenBank genome assembly